Molecule: ribosomal RNA, 2089 nt
Filed under: Emticicia sp. C21
Lineage: Bacteria; Pseudomonadati; Bacteroidota; Cytophagia; Cytophagales; Leadbetterellaceae
Description: bacterial LSU rRNA
Rfam family: Bacterial large subunit ribosomal RNA
Source: RNAcentral
AGGAGCUACAUAAGGGCGUACGGAGGAUGCCUAGGGUCUCAGAGGCGAAGAAGGACGUGAUAAGCUGCGAUAAGCUACGGGGAGAAGCACAUUUUCUGUGAUCCGUAGAUUUCCGAAUGGGGCAACCCAAUAGUUUGAAGAACUAUUACCAUAUCUGAUAUGGAGCUAACUCGGUGAACUGAAACAUCUAAGUAACCGAAGGAAAAUAAAACAACAGUGAUUCCGCAAGUAGUGGCGAGCGAACGCGGAGAAGCCCAAACCAUUUUUGUUACGGCAAAAGUGGGGUUAUAGGACUGCAUUUAGGAUUUAUCUUUAAGUUGAAUGAUUUGGGAAAGUCAUCCAUAGAGUGUGAGAGACACGUAAACGUACCGAGAUAAUGACGAGCAGUAUCCUGAGUAGGUGGGGACCGGUGGAAUCCCCUCUGAAUUCGGCGGCACCAUCCGCCAAGGCUAAAUACUCCUGAGACACCGAUAGUGAACGAGUACUGUGAAGGAAAGGUGAAAAGCACGGGGAGUACCCGGGUGAAAUAGAACCUGAAACCGUACGCUUACAAGCGGUCGGAGCAGCUUAGUGCUGUGACGGCGUGCCUUUUGCAUAAUGACCCUACGAGUUACGGUCACCGGCAAGAUUAAGUAUUUCAGAUACGUAGUCGAAGCGAAAGCAAGUCUGAAUAGGGCGAAUAGUCGGUGGCUGUAGACGCGAAACCUUGUGAUCUACCCAUGGUCAGGUUGAAGGUUGGGUAAAACCAACUGGAGGACCGAACCAGUUAACGUUGAAAAGUUUUUGGAUGAACUGUGGGUAGGGGUGAAAGGCUAAUCAAACUGGGAAAUAGCUCGUACUCUCCGAAAUGUAUUUAGGUACAGCGUCGAGGUUGAGUUAUAUCGAGGUAGAGCUACCAAUAGGAUGCGGGGGAGUCAAAUCCUACCAAAUUCUGAUAAACUCCGAAUGCGAUAUAAUAUACUCGGCAGUGAGGGCUUGGGUGCUAAGGUCCGAGUCCAAAAGGGAAAGAACCCAGAACUACAACUAAGGUCUCUAAAUCUAUACUAAGUUGAACUAAGGAAGUCUGAUUGCAGAGACAGCCAGGAUGUUUGCUUGGAAGCAGCAAUCAUUUAAAGAGUGCGUAACAGCUCACUGGUCGAGCGAGGCGGGCAUCGAUAAUAAACGGGCAUCAAGUAUAGUACCGAAGUUUAGUCAAGAAUUUAUUCUUGGGUAGGAGAGCAUUCUGUUCGCGGCGAAGGUGUACUGUGAGGUAUGCUGGAGCGGAUAGAAAAGCAAAUGUAGGGAUAAGUAGCGAUAAUGUAUGUGAGAACCAUACACACCGAAAGACUAAGGAUUCCUCAGCUACGUCAAUCAACUGAGGGUUAGUCGGGUCCUAAGGAUCAUGCGAAAGCAGAAGCCGAUGGCAAACAGGUUAAUAUUCCUGUACUGGUGAUGGUGCGAUGCGGGGACGGAGUGUCGGAGUGUAUACGUCCUGACGGAAUAGGGCGUUGAGGGGAGGCUUAGGCUGAACCGAAUAUGUGAAGAGACUUCCAAGAAAAGCCGCUAAGCUUCAGCCAUUUACCACCCGUACCGUAAACCGACACAGGUAGUCGAGGCGAGAAGCCUAAGGUGCUCGAGUGAGUCACAGCUAAGGAACUCGGCAAAUUAACCCUGUAACUUCGGGAGAAGGGGAGCCUCAGCAAUGAGGCCGCAGAGAAAUGGCCCAGGCGACUGUUUAACAAAAACACAUGGCUUUGCUAAGUUUAAUGACAAAGUAUAAGGCCUGACACCUGCCCGGUGCUGGAAGGUUAAGAGGGGAUGUCAUCGCAAGAGAAGCAUUGAAUCGAAGCCCCAGUAAACGGCGGCCGUAACUAUAACGGUCCUAAGGUAGCGAAAUUCCUUGUCGGGUAAGUUCCGACCUGCACGAAUGGUGUAACGAUCUGGGCACUGUCUCAGCUGUGAGCUCGGCGAAAUUGUAGUAGCGGUGAAGAUGCCGCUUACCCGCCACGGGACGGAAAGACCCCGUGAACCUUUACUAUAGCUUAACGUUGAAUUCGGGUAACUGAUGUGUAGGAUAGGUGGGAGGCUGUGAGCCGGUGUCGCUAGGCAU